This 45-nucleotide non-coding RNA is filed under the name Trichobilharzia regenti. The record is from RNAcentral. Lineage: Eukaryota; Metazoa; Platyhelminthes; Trematoda; Strigeidida; Schistosomatidae.
GUCCACCUGAAAAGUCUAAAAUAGGACGAAACGUGAGUCUUGGAU